UACGUAGGAUGCAAGCGUUGUCCGGAAUUAUUGGGCGUAAAGGGUCCGUAGGCGGUUCGGUUAGUCUCCUGUGAAAACUCCAGGCUCAACCUGGAGACGUCGGGGGAAACUGCCGGACUUGAGACUGUCAGAGGCAAGCGGAAUUCCCGGUGUAGUGGUGAAAUGCGUAGAUAUCGGGAGGAACACCAGUGGCGAAAGCGGCUUGCUGGGGCAGUUCUGACGCUGAGGGACGAAAGCGUGGGUAGCAAACCGG
RNAcentral lists this unclassified non-coding RNA (253 nucleotides) under uncultured Dehalococcoidia bacterium. RNAcentral describes it as "contains 16S-23S intergenic spacer region". It matches the Rfam family "Bacterial small subunit ribosomal RNA", at positions 524 to 776 of the family's 1533-position model. The record is from RNAcentral. Lineage: Bacteria; Bacillati; Chloroflexota; Dehalococcoidia.